AGAGUUUGAUCCUGGCUCAGGAUGAACGCUGGCGGCGUGCCUAAUACAUGCAAGUCGAACGAGUUCUCGUUGAUGAUCGGUGCUUGCACCGAGAUUCAACAUAGAACGAGUGGCGGACGGGUGAGUAACACGUGGGUAACCUGCCCUUAAGUGGGGGAUAACAUUUGGAAACAGAUGCUAAUACCGCAUAGAUCCAAGAACCGCAUGGUUCUUGGCUGAAAGAUGGCGUAAGCUAUCGCUUUUGGAUGGACCCGCGGCGUAUUAGCUAGUUGGUGAGGUAAUGGCUCACCAAGGCGAUGAUACGUAGCCGAACUGAGAGGUUGAUCGGCCACAUUGGGACUGAGACACGGCCCAAACUCCUACGGGAGGCAGCAGUAGGGAAUCUUCCACAAUGGACGCAAGUCUGAUGGAGCAACGCCGCGUGAGUGAAGAAGGCUUUCGGGUCGUAAAACUCUGUUGUUGGAGAAGAAUGGUCGGCAGAGUAACUGUUGUCGGCGUGACGGUAUCCAACCAGAAAGCCACGGCUAACUACGUGCCAGCAGCCGCGGUAAUACGUAGGUGGCAAGCGUAUCCGAUUUAUUGGGCGUAAAGCGAGCGCAGCGGGUUUUUUAGUCUUAUGUGAAAGCCCUCGGCUUAACCGAGGAAGUGCAUCGGAAACUGGGAAACUUGAGUGCAGAAGAGGACAGUGGAACUCCAUGUGUAGCGGUGAAAUGCGUAGAUAUAUGGAAGAACACCAGUGGCGAAGGCGGCUGUCUGGUCUGUAACUGACGCUGAGGCUCGAAAGCAUGGGUAGCGAACAGGAUUAGAUACCCUGGUAGUCCAUGCCGUAAACGAUGAAUGCUAGGUGUUGGAGGGUUUCCGCCCUUCAGUGCCGCAGCUAACGCAUUAAGCAUUCCGGCUGGGGAGUACGACCGCAAGGUUGAAACUCAAAGGAAUUGACGGGGGCCCGCCCAAGCGGGGGAGCAAUGUGUUUAAUUGAAGCAACCGGGAAGACCCUUACCAGGUCUUGACAUUUUUGAUCCCCUGAGAGAUCAGGUUUCCCCUUCGGGGGCAAAAUGACAGGUGGUGCAUGGUUGUCGUCAGCUCGUGUCGUGAGAUGUUGGGUUAAGUCCCGCAACGAGCGCAACCCUUAUGACUAGUUGCCAGCAUUUAGUUGGGCACUCUAGUAAGACUGCCGGUGACAAACCGGAGGAAGGUGGGGAUGACGUCAAAUCAUCAUGCCCCUUAUGACCUGGGCUACACACGUGCUACAAUGGAUGGUACAACGAGUUGCGAGACCGCGAGGUCAAGCUAAUCUCUUAAAGCCAUUCUCAGUUCGGACUGUAGGCUGCAACUCGCCUACACGAAGUCGGAAUCGCUAGUAAUCGCGGAUCAGCACGCCGCGGUGAAUACGUUCCCGGGCCUUGUACACACCGCCCGUCACACCAUGAGAGUUUGUAACACCCGAAGCCGGUGGCGUAACCCUUUUAGGGAGCGAGCCGUCUAAGGUGGGACAAAUGAUUAGGGUGAAGUCGUAACAAGGUAGCCGUAGGAGAACCUGCGGCUGGAUCACCUCCUU
RNAcentral lists this ribosomal RNA (1558 nucleotides) under Lactobacillus sp. rennanqilfy32. RNAcentral describes it as "bacterial SSU rRNA". It matches the Rfam family "Bacterial small subunit ribosomal RNA". Lineage: Bacteria; Bacillati; Bacillota; Bacilli; Lactobacillales; Lactobacillaceae. The record is from RNAcentral.